Molecule: ribosomal RNA, 496 nt
Filed under: uncultured bacterium
Lineage: Bacteria
Description: partial 16S ribosomal RNA
Rfam family: Bacterial small subunit ribosomal RNA
Source: RNAcentral
UGGGGAAUUUUGGACAAUGGGCGAAAGCCUGAUCCAGCAAUGCCGCGUGUGUGAAGAAGGCCUUCGGGUUGUAAAGCACUUUUGUCCGGAAAGAAAUCCUUGGCUCUAAUACAGUCGGGGGAUGACGGUACCGGAAGAAUAAGCACCGGCUAACUACGUGCCAGCAGCCGCGGUAAUACGUAGGGUGCAAGCGUUAAUCGGAAUUAUCGGGCGUAAAGCGUGCGCAGGCGGUUUGCUAAGACCGAUGUGAAAUCCCCGGGCCCAACCUGGGAACUGCAUUGGUGACUGGCAGGCUAGAGUAUGGCAGAGGGGGGUAGAAUUCCACGUGUAGCAGUGAAAUGCGUAGAGAUGUGGAGGAAUACCGAUGGCGAAGGCAGCCCCCUGGGCCAAUACUGACGCUCAUGCACGAAAGCGUGGGGAGCAAACAGGAUUAGAUACCCUGGUAGUCCACGCCCUAAACGAUGUCAACUAGUUGUUGGGGAUUCAUUUCCUUAGU